RNAcentral lists this ribosomal RNA (455 nucleotides) under uncultured bacterium. RNAcentral describes it as "SSU rRNA". It matches the Rfam family "Bacterial small subunit ribosomal RNA", at positions 26 to 518 of the family's 1533-position model. The record is from RNAcentral.
AGGAUGAACGCUGGCGGCGUGCCUAAUACAUGCAAGUCGAGCGGUAAGGCCCCUUCGGGGGUACACGAGCGGCGGACGGCUGAGUAACACGUAGGAACGUACCCCAAACUGAGGGAUAAGCACCAGAAAUGGUGUCUAAUACCGCAUGUGGUCUUCGGAUUAAAGCUUCGGCGGUUUGGGAACGGCCUGCGCAUGAUUAGCUUGUUGGUGAGGUAAAAGCUUACCAAGGCGACGAUCAUUAGCUGGUCUGAGAGGAUGAUCAGCCAGACUGGGACUGAGAACGGCCCAGACUCCUACGGGAGGCAGCAGUAGGGAAUUUUCCACAAUGGGCGAAAGCCUGAUGGAGCAACGCCGCGUGCAGGACGAAGGCCUUCGGGUUGUAAACUGCUUUUAUAUGUGAAGAUUAUGACGGUAGCAUAUGAAUAAGGAUCGGCUAACUCCGCGCCAGCAGCCGC